Molecule: transfer RNA, 72 nt
Filed under: Heterocephalus glaber (naked mole-rat)
Lineage: Eukaryota; Metazoa; Chordata; Mammalia; Rodentia; Bathyergidae
Rfam family: tRNA (bases 6-65)
About the family: Transfer RNA (tRNA) molecules are approximately 80 nucleotides in length. Their secondary structure includes four short double-helical elements and three loops (D, anti-codon, and T loops).
Source: Rfam by way of RNAcentral
GUACAUGUAGCUCAGUGGUAGAGCAUUUGCCUAGAUGUGCAAGGCCCUGAGUUUGACUCUCAGCACUGAACA